This 297-nucleotide RNase P RNA is filed under the name Tenacibaculum adriaticum. RNAcentral describes it as "Bacterial RNase P class A". It matches the Rfam family "Bacterial RNase P class A". From Rfam's summary of the family: Ribonuclease P (RNase P) is a ubiquitous endoribonuclease, found in archaea, bacteria and eukarya as well as chloroplasts and mitochondria. Its best characterised activity is the generation of mature 5'-ends of tRNAs by cleaving the 5'-leader elements of precursor-tRNAs. The record is from Rfam by way of RNAcentral. Lineage: Bacteria; Pseudomonadati; Bacteroidota; Flavobacteriia; Flavobacteriales; Flavobacteriaceae.
UUAGCAGAUCAGUCUUAUCGCCAAAAUUUGGAGGAAAGUCCGGACACCAUAGGGUAGCAUAGCGGAUAACAUCCGUCCGGUGUAAACCGAGGACAAGUGCAACAGAAAGCAAGUACAGUUCGGCUGUAGUGAAACCAGGUAAACUCUAUGCGGUGCAAUACCACGUAUAUUAGAGCUUGAGCGCUACUCGCGCGAUUCUAAGGGGUAGGUAGAUAGACUCUAAAAGUAAUUUUAGAGCGAGAUAAAUGAUAAGAACUUUGUAAGUUACAGAAUCCGGCUUAUUGAUCUGCUUUUUUC